AAUAUUGGACAAUGGGCGAAAGCCUGAGACAGCCAUGCCGCGUCUGUGAAGAAGGUCUACGGGUGGUAAAGCACUUAGAGUUGCGAGGAAGGGGUUUACGCUAAUACCUUCAAUCUUUCACUUGACCGACAGAUGAAGUCCAGGCCAACUUCGUGCCAGCAGCCGGGGUAAUACGAAGGGUGCAAGCGUUACUCGGAAUUACUGGGCGUAAAGCGCGCGUAGGUGGUUUGUUAAGUUGGAAGUGAAAGCCCCGGGCUCAACCUGGGAACUGCUUUCAAAACUGGCAAGCUAGAGUAUGGCAGAGGGUGGUGGAAUUUCCUGUGUAGCGGUGAAAUGCGUAGAUAUAGGAAGGAACACCAGUGGCGAAGGCGACCACCUGGGCUAAUACUGACACUGAGGUGCGAAAGCGUGGGGAGCAAACAGG
RNAcentral lists this ribosomal RNA (424 nucleotides) under uncultured bacterium. Its description in RNAcentral is "partial 16S ribosomal RNA". It matches the Rfam family "Bacterial small subunit ribosomal RNA", at positions 360 to 776 of the family's 1533-position model. The record is from RNAcentral.